This 253-nucleotide ribosomal RNA is filed under the name uncultured bacterium. RNAcentral's name for it is "partial 16S ribosomal RNA". It matches the Rfam family "Bacterial small subunit ribosomal RNA", at positions 524 to 776 of the family's 1533-position model. The record is from RNAcentral.
UACGGGGGAUGCAAGCGUUAUCCGGAAUGAUUGGGCGUAAAGCGCCUGUAGGUUGUUUAUUAAGUCCGUUGUUAAAGCCUAGGGCUUAACCCUAGAAAAGCAAUGGAAACUAGUAGACUAGAGUAUGGCAGGGGUAGAGGGAAUUUCUAGUGUAGCGGUGAAAUGCGUAGAUAUUAGAAAGAACACCGGUGGCGAAAGCGCUCUACUGGACCAUUACUGACACUCAGAGGCGAAAGCUAGGGUAGCAAAAGGG